UGUACUAAUUGCACAAAAAGUAGCUCCAGCCCUCCCUGCUUCACAACUGUGCAAAACCAAAGUUCAAUUCCUCUCCGACCCUCAAAGACUUCGUCGAGUUGCCGGAGGUUUCAUCAGAGUGGUGAAAAUCGGUUGACUCCGUCUUUCUCCAGAGAAAAUUGGUGAAGACAUUGCAAAGAAAACUGUAAAGAAUAGGAAGGGUUUUCAGGUUUUAUGACUUUUGAUGAGCAACAAAUGUCGUUGGAUUGUAAACAAUGGAGAGAGAGGAAGAAGGCGUAGAAGAGUCAGGAGAAAUGAUUGCGGCGAGUCUGGGCUUAAUUCAUUUGAUAUGAUUAGAAUUUUUUGGUUGGCAUAAAAUCAGCAGUGAUAUCAUUACUUCUAUUUACUCAACUGGAUUCUUAUCAAGUAAAAUGAGUGAUGAUAUGUACAAUUCAGAACAUAAAACAUGUUCUCUUGCAAGCACCAAAUCAACACUCACUGAAGUCAUGCACACAAUUAAUGAGCGAAGGGAUAAGUAAUCGACUGUGAAAGUUAGUUUGCCAUGUUAUGUUGUAUACUUUUUAUACAGUGUCGUUAAAUUGCACAAGAAAGAUUGAUGUACCAACUUUUUAGAGAAAGAAGUCUGAGUUGAUUUAGCCAAGAAGCUUGAGGAAUUUGGAAAACCUAUGUAGUAAAAUUUGCAGGGAAACACAAGAAGACACUAUUAUUUGGCUUGUACUACUUGUGCAUAAUUUUUUUUUGAAGAUUUGUA
Molecule: long non-coding RNA, 751 nt
Organism: Solanum stenotomum
Lineage: Eukaryota; Viridiplantae; Streptophyta; Magnoliopsida; Solanales; Solanaceae
Exons: 3
Source: RefSeq, a predicted model, not a curated record